Molecule: long non-coding RNA, 561 nt
Filed under: Gouania willdenowi (blunt-snouted clingfish)
Lineage: Eukaryota; Metazoa; Chordata; Actinopteri; Blenniiformes; Gobiesocidae
Description: lncRNA (ENSGWIG00000001211.1)
Source: RNAcentral
GCGCAUGAUACCGGUUCACUUGGUUCCGUCUGUUAGCAGCGAAGCAAGCCGAGAUGUGAGUGAAUAAUUCCGGUAAACCAUGAAAGUGGAUGCAGAGUGUACAAGCUCGGGUUGGAUUGUUGACACCUGUGAUUGGACCAGAGACGUCCUCUUUGGAUCCUACUGCGGACUUUAAGUAGUUUGUUUAUCGUUGGAACUGCCCUGCUGCUCCGGUGAAGGCCUGUGAGCUACACUGACCACCGCCAUUAUCAAGGUCCGGGUCUGGUUGCGGCUGCUGCUUCGCUCCAGGGUAAUAUUUGGAGUUUCUGAGAGGACGUCUUGAUGUCCCGCCCUCAACAGCUGCACUUCCUUCCACUGCCUCUGCAGUCUACCAGAAGCCACGCCUUUAUGUUUCUGCACGCACAUUGCGGAACAUAACAAGGUCGCAUUGAUAUAUGGGAAAGCUGAGAUGCCAGGAUGUGCUACUGCCCACUGUGCCCAGUACCAGCAGCUCCAGGCCCCACAGCGACAAAGUACAGGGAUGUUGGAAUACAGCGUAAGGCAGUACAACAGUCCCCCUGG